Molecule: ribosomal RNA, 468 nt
Filed under: uncultured bacterium
Lineage: Bacteria
Description: partial 16S ribosomal RNA
Rfam family: Bacterial small subunit ribosomal RNA
Source: RNAcentral
GACGAACGCUGGCGGCGUGCUUAACACAUGCAAGUCGAACGGAAAGGCCCUGCUCUUGUGGCGUGCUCGUGUGGCGCACGGGUGAGUAACACGCGAGUAACAUGCCCUUGUCUUUCGGAUAACUUCAGGAAAAUGGGGCUAUUACCGGAUAGGAGCUCCUGCUGCAUGGUGGGGGUUGGAAAGUUUCGGCGGUGGGGGAUGGACUCGCGGCUUAUCAGCUUGUUGGUGGGGUAGUGGCUUACCAAGGCUGUGACGGGUAGCCGGCCUUGGAGCGUGACCGGCCACAUUGGGACUGAGGUACGCAGCAGACGCGUACGGGCGGCAGCAGGGGGGAAUAUUGCACAAUGGGCGGAAGCCUGAGGCAGCAACGCCGCGAGCGUAAUGACGGCCUUCUGGUUGUAAACCGCUUUCGCCUGUGACGAAGCGUGAGUGACGGUAAUGGAUAAAGAAGCACCGGCUAACUACGUG